Molecule: ribosomal RNA, 817 nt
Filed under: uncultured marine bacterium
Lineage: Bacteria
Description: bacterial SSU rRNA
Rfam family: Bacterial small subunit ribosomal RNA
Source: RNAcentral
GUCGAACGCAGUAGCAAUACUGAGUGGCAAACGGGUGAGUAUAAUGUGGGAAUCUGCCUUUUGGUUUGGAAUAACACGGGGAAACUUGUGCUAAUACCGGAUAAGCCCUUACGGGGAAAGUUUUAACGCCGAAAGAUGAGCCUGCACUUGAUUAGCUAGUUGGUAAGGUAAAAGCUUACCAAGGCUACGAUCAAUAGCUGUUCUUAGAGGAAGACCAGCCACAUUGGGACUGAGACACGGCCCAGACUCCUACGGGAGGCAGCAGUGGGGAAUCUUGCACAAUGGGGGAAACCCUGAUGCAGCGAUGCCGCGUGAGUGAAGAAGGCCCUUGGGUUGUAAAACUCUUUCGUCGGGGAAGAAAAUGACUGUACCCGAAUAAGAAGGUCCGGCUAACUUCGUGCCAGCAGCCGCGGUAAUACGAAGGGACCUAGCGUAGUUCGGAAUUACUGGGCUUAAAGAGCUCGUAGGUGGUUAAAAAAGUUGAUGGUGAAAUCCCAAGGCUUAACCUUGGAACUGCCAUCAAAACUUUUUAGCUAGAGUGUGAUAGAGGUAAGUGGAAUUUCUAGUGUAGAGGUGAAAUUCGUAGAUAUUAGAAAGAACACCAAAUGCGAAGGCAACUUACUGGGUCACUACUGACACUGAGGAGCGAAAGCAUGGGUAGCGAAGAGGAUUAGAUACCCUCGUAGUCCAUGCCGUANACGAUGUGUGCUAGACGUUGGAAAUAUAUUUUUCAGUGUCGCAGCGAAAGCAUUAAGCACACCGCCUGGGGAGUACGACCGCAAGGUUAAAACUCACAUGAAUUGACGGGGACCCGCAC